UGAUUUAUUAUGCUAGCAGCUAACGUAACUUAACUGUAUGGAACUUGGUCCCCAUCUUCUAUUUUGUUUGUUCUGCAGCGUCAACUUUUAUCGGCUGGAUUCUAGCAUCUAACGUUACGAUUGCCUCUGUUGGGUUUGCUUGAUCAACCAUCGUUUCGGGGACUCUGAUGACAGUGAAGAGCCAGAAAAUGGUGACUUUGCAUCUCUGAGGUACCUUCCAACUCGCCUGGUAUAUCAGUUGAAGCCUCAAGCCCAAGCCAAUUGCACUGGCAAACUCCACCAUCUCGCCGAGUGCUAGGCAGCCGAGUCACUACCCCUCAACCUGGAGAAAACUGUUAAGCACCUCACCAUGGGGCAGGACCGCAACACUCUUCACCACCUCAACUCCCUGCACCUGC
This is a long non-coding RNA of Alosa sapidissima (American shad), 398 nucleotides long. RefSeq lists it as uncharacterized. The record is from RefSeq and is a predicted model, not a curated record. The transcript has 4 exons. NCBI's taxonomy places the organism in Eukaryota, Metazoa, Chordata, Actinopteri, Clupeiformes, Clupeidae.